Molecule: long non-coding RNA, 503 nt
Organism: Marmota monax (woodchuck)
Lineage: Eukaryota; Metazoa; Chordata; Mammalia; Rodentia; Sciuridae
Exons: 3
Source: RefSeq, a predicted model, not a curated record
AGUUGGAGUGACAUUGCAAUGACAGGAAAAUGUGAACUAUGUGAGGGAGGGCAGAGGAGCUCUUCUCAAAGCUCCGGGCGUCUGAAAGGAGCACCUCCAAUCCACCCAGGGGAGGCCUGUGUCCUAUUGGACAGGAGCCCUUGUUCUGUGAUGAUUGCAGAAGGGAUGCUGAGACCACCCAGGAGAGCCCAGGACUUCUCAAAUUCAUCCCAGAGCACAAAAGCACAAACCCAAGCCAGCUUCCAGGUUCGCUGCCCACAUUGAUGUGUCCUGCCGGACGGGACAUUUGGCGCCCAACGUUGUGUGCCCGAGCCUUUGACUGAGAAGGAACGCCAUCCUCCGGGAAGACUUGGCCAAGCGGGAGCACGAGAUCGCCUCGGCAGACACCACCGAGAGACAGAUCCAGGAGGAGAGUGAGGACGACGAAAGGUGAGUGACCCACCAUGGGACAAGCAGUUUCGUCACAUGAUUUGUUUUUGUCAGGCCUCAAGGAGGCCCUCAAG